CGCUGGCGGCGUGCCUAAUACAUGCAAGUCGAACGGUCUUUCUAUGGAAGCUUGCUUCCACUGAGAAGAUAGUGGCGAACGGGUGAGUAACACGUGGGUAACCUGCCCAUAAGAGGGGGAUAACAUCCGGAAACGGGUGCUAAUACCGCAUAGUUUUCUUGAUCGCAUGAUCGGGAAAGGAAAGACGGCCUUUGUGCUGUCGCUUAUGGACGGACCCGCGGCGUAUUAGUUAGUUGGUGAGGUAACGGCUCACCAAGACGAUGAUACGUAGCCGACCUGAGAGGGUGAUCGGCCACAUUGGGACUGAGACACGGCCCAAACUCCUACGGGAGGCAGCAGUAGGGAAUCUUCCGCAAUGGACGAAAGUCUGACGGAGCAACGCCGCGUGAGUGAAGAAAAGGUUUUCGGAUCGUAAAACUCUGUUGUCAGAGAAGAACAAGUUGGAGAGUAACUGCUCCAGCCUUGACGGUAUCUGACCAGAAAGCCACGGCUAACUACGUGCCAGCCGCCGC
Molecule: ribosomal RNA, 512 nt
Filed under: uncultured bacterium
Lineage: Bacteria
Description: bacterial SSU rRNA
Rfam family: Bacterial small subunit ribosomal RNA
Source: RNAcentral